CGGUCCCCUGCCCGGGGCCUCCGGUGAUGAUUUGCAGUCCAGAGCCUCCGGCGAUGAUCCACGGUCCGGAUCUACAAAGAUCAGUGUAAAAUUGGGGGCGAAAUCCAGAACCAGAGCCGCCACCGAGGGUAGAUGCCCACCCGGACCCUUCCCUAUAAGUUCAGACGACAAGCAUGUACAAAAACCCAAAGUGACGGUCUACCCAGCGUCCAACCCUGAGCCGAAUGGGAAGAUCACCCUGCUAUGUCUGGCUAGAGACAUGUUUCCAGACUUAGUCAAGAUCUCAUGGAAGAUGGAGGAUGAAUACAGCAGAACAAUGGAGGUGGCCAAAGCAGAGAGGGAAGAGCUGGAGCAGAGGGAGGAAGGACAGAUGACCAGUAUGAUCAUCAUUGAUAAAGAGAAGAUGUACAGGAACAAAUACAUCUGUUCUGUGGAGCAUGAAUGGGGCAUUCAAGAUGUUGACAUACCAAGGGAUUCCUUCCCGCUCAUGUGCAGUCUGAACCUGGCCUCUCUGGUUUAUACAGUGAUGAUAGUGAAGAGCAUGGUGUACUGCUGUGGGCUCUCUCUCCUGCUGCACCACAGGAACAUGGGGAAGUGGACACAACACCUGUAGAAAGGAUACUCCCCAGUAUGGAUAAAGAUGUAGUAGGCUGGGAAUAACAUGGAUUUUACAUCCUAUUGAGGUCUAACAUCUCAAUUGUUGGCCUAUUGCCUUAAUUUUUUCAACUUUAUUUUUCAAAUGCUAAAAUAUUGUGAGCCAUAGAUUUCCAUGUCUUC
Molecule: long non-coding RNA, 777 nt
Organism: Oncorhynchus tshawytscha (Chinook salmon)
Lineage: Eukaryota; Metazoa; Chordata; Actinopteri; Salmoniformes; Salmonidae
Source: Ensembl